Molecule: unclassified non-coding RNA, 23 nt
Filed under: Mus musculus (house mouse)
Lineage: Eukaryota; Metazoa; Chordata; Mammalia; Rodentia; Muridae
Description: oocyte_clustered_small_RNA5395
Source: RNAcentral
CAGUUCCAGUUCUGGCAGAGUAA